RNAcentral lists this ribosomal RNA (20 nucleotides) under Trebouxia sp. H3.12.24. RNAcentral describes it as "partial 26S ribosomal RNA". Lineage: Eukaryota; Viridiplantae; Chlorophyta; Trebouxiophyceae; Trebouxiales; Trebouxiaceae. RNAcentral also lists the same sequence under 2 other names. The record is from RNAcentral.
AGGUCAGGCAAGAACACCCG